UGCCUCCAAAUCUCUGAGCCUUUUCGUUCCUUUCAGCGGUUCACUGCCUAUCUCCCCGAGGAAAUCAGAAUGGGUAAACCUAGUCAUCCUUUGGUUUCCCCAAGGCGCCGCCCCCUACAGUCAGCCUUCCCAGAUUACCUUAGCAGUGAGCACUCUCUCCCUCAUAUUUACUGAUCUCUGCAAAUGUUGAGUCUUCUCCAUAACAAGCAAGCUCCUCGAGAGUGGGAAUUGGUGUUCGUAAUGUCGUUCCAUCCUCAGGGCCUGGCGCAGAGUAGGCUCUUCACCAACAUUUUGUUCUACUGAAUUAAACUGGACUCAAUCGCGCUAAAUUACACGGGACUGAACCAGAUAGGAACAGAGGAUGCUUUUCAGCAAACUGACUCCAGGGAGCCUGCAGGGCCAGGAGAAGGAUGGCAGAAAGGGGCCGGGAGACAGAUGUCCAGAGAAUCCAAUGCCCUUAUAGUUAUCACCUGGGUAAAUACAAGGGCCACUGUGUGCAUUUGACAGAUGAGGGAAAGGAGGCACAGACAGGUUAAAGAGCUUGUCUGUGAUUACCAAGUGAAUAUAAAGAGAGUAAAAAUUGAUUAUCUGUGCUGCAAGGAUAUGAUCUGGACUAAAUCAUCUGUUCUUUGA
This 633-nucleotide long non-coding RNA is filed under the name Phascolarctos cinereus (koala). RNAcentral's name for it is "lncRNA (ENSPCIG00000011689.2)". The record is from RNAcentral. Lineage: Eukaryota; Metazoa; Chordata; Mammalia; Diprotodontia; Phascolarctidae.